AGCCCUGAAGUAGUUAAUUACAUUGGAUUGCAAAUCCAAAGACGGAGGUUAGGACCUCCCGGGGCUU
This 67-nucleotide transfer RNA is filed under the name Sphyrna mokarran (great hammerhead). RNAcentral describes it as "tRNA-Cys". It matches the Rfam family "tRNA". From Rfam's summary of the family: Transfer RNA (tRNA) molecules are approximately 80 nucleotides in length. Their secondary structure includes four short double-helical elements and three loops (D, anti-codon, and T loops). The record is from RNAcentral. Lineage: Eukaryota; Metazoa; Chordata; Chondrichthyes; Carcharhiniformes; Carcharhinidae.